This is a non-coding RNA of Thrips palmi, 75 nucleotides long. The record is from the annotation of a RefSeq genome assembly. NCBI's taxonomy places the organism in Eukaryota, Metazoa, Arthropoda, Insecta, Thysanoptera, Thripidae.
UCCGGUAUGGUCUAGUGGUUAGGAUUUCUGGCUUUCACCCAGGAGGCUCGGGGUUCGUUUCCCCGGGUACCGGAA